Molecule: transfer RNA, 67 nt
Filed under: Antheraea pernyi (Chinese oak silkmoth)
Lineage: Eukaryota; Metazoa; Arthropoda; Insecta; Lepidoptera; Saturniidae
Also listed under: 1 other name
Description: tRNA-Met
Source: RNAcentral
UUAAAAAUAAGCUAAUUAAAGCUUUUGGGCUCAUACCUCAAAUAUAAAGGAUCUCCUUUUUUUUAAA